AGAAUCAACGCUGGCGGCGUGCCUAACACAUGCAAGUCGAACGAGAAAGUGGAGCAAUCCAUGAGUACAGUGGCGCACGGGUGAGUAACACGUGACUAACCUACCCUCGAGUGGGGAAUAACCUCGGGAAACCGGGGCUAAUACCGCAUAACAUCCACGGAUCAAAUGCGUAAGCAGCUUGAGGAGGGGUCGCGGCUGAUUAGCUAGUUGGCGGGUAAUGGCCCACCAAGGCAGUGAUCAGUA
RNAcentral lists this ribosomal RNA (243 nucleotides) under uncultured bacterium. RNAcentral describes it as "partial small subunit ribosomal RNA". It matches the Rfam family "Bacterial small subunit ribosomal RNA", at positions 26 to 285 of the family's 1533-position model. The record is from RNAcentral.